Molecule: long non-coding RNA, 717 nt
Organism: Myotis daubentonii (Daubenton's bat)
Lineage: Eukaryota; Metazoa; Chordata; Mammalia; Chiroptera; Vespertilionidae
Exons: 2
Source: RefSeq, a predicted model, not a curated record
CCUCCCGCAGCGCCUGCAGGCGCGGUCCCGCCCGGCGUGCCCCAGGCGCCCCACGCGCCCCACGCGCCCAGACGCGGCCCCGAUAGGUUUCCGCUCCCCUUCACGCCCGGGAAGCCAGAGGGUCGCCCGAUCGCCCGCCUCUCCCGGGCCCCAGCCUCACCGCCCAGCCCCGUUUCCGGUUAAAAUACCCAGAGCUUAGAUGGGCCCUCCCCGGCUCGGGCGCUGGUAGGGGUCGGUCAGCGGGUUGGCUGCCUGAUGGAUUGAUGUAUUCGCCUGGCUCAUCUGGGCUCCAAGUCACGGGACAAACGCACAUGCCACACCCUCCCGAGACACCUGUCCCCCGACCCGCAGGCCACCCGGCCCAGUUAGGACCUCAAGGUUUUGGAUCCUGACUCGUUCUGGCUUGUCUUGCUCUAGACAUGCUUACUAUCCAGCUUGAAAAUGGAUCUUCUCUAAGAAAUUCCCGCUUGGAAUCAGUUCCAAAAGAAAACCCUAGUAAGUAGCUAGAGCCCAUAUCUGCGUCUGGAGGGUUGUCUGCAGCAGCAGAAACCCCCGGGGGAGACAAGGGCAGGGCCACAGAGCUGAAGGCACGCACCCCUGACUGUUCACUUCGAAAUCCGCCACGCUGCGCAGCCACAAGGACUUGGCAGUCGCCACCAGCCAUCGAUGGAAGCUUGCUUUGAGUCGUUCGGGGUAAUAAAGUUAUUUCUCAUGGAA